ACGUACACUCCUACGGGAGGCAGCAGUGGGGAAUUUUGGACAAUGGGCGAAAGCCUGAUCCAGCCAUGCCGCGUGCAGGAUGAAGGCCUUCGGGUUGUAAACUGCUUUUGUACGGAACGAAACGGCCUUUUCUAAUAAAGAGGGCUAAUGACGGUACCGUAAGAAUAAGCACCGGCUAACUACGUGCCAGCAGCCGCGGUAAUACGUAGGGUGCAAGCGUUAAUCGGAAUUACUGGGCGUAAAGCGUGCGCAGGCGGUUAUGUAAGACAGUUGUGAAAUCCCCGGGCUCAACCUGGGAACUGCAUCUGUGACUGCAUAGCUAGAGUACGGUAGAGGGGGAUGGAAUUCCGCGUGUAGCAGUGAAAUGCGUAGAUAUGCGGAGGAACACCGAUGGCGAAGGCAAUCCCCUGGACCUGUACUGACGCUCAUGCACGAAAGCGUGGGGAGCAAACAGGAUUAGAUACCCCAGUAGUCCCAUGA
This 480-nucleotide ribosomal RNA is filed under the name uncultured organism. RNAcentral describes it as "partial 16S ribosomal RNA". It matches the Rfam family "Bacterial small subunit ribosomal RNA", at positions 329 to 800 of the family's 1533-position model. The record is from RNAcentral.